CGGCGUGGAUUAGGCUUGCAAGUCGUACGCACAGCAAUGUGAGUGGCGCAAGGGUGAGUAAUACGAAGGUAACCAACCCUGAAGUUGGGCAUAGCCGCGGGAAACUGCGGGUAAUUCCCAGCGACGUUGCGAGAUGGCAUCAUCUUGCAACCAAAGGUGUGAUUCCGCCGGAGGAGGGGCCCACGUCCUAUCAGCUAGUUGGCGAGGUAAUAGCUCACCAAGGCUACGACGGGUACGGGGUGUGAGAGCAUGCCCCCGCUCACUGGGACUGAGACACUGCCCAGACACCUACGGGUGGCUGCAGUCGAGAAUCUUCCGCAAUGGGCGAAAGCCUGACGGAGCGACGCCGCGUGCGGGAUGAAGGCCUUCGGGUUGUAAACCGCUGUCAGUGGGGAGGAAAUGCACGGGGGUUCUCCCUCGUGUUUGACCGAUCCGCAGAGGAAGCACAGGCUAAGUUCGUGCCAGCAGCCGCGGUAACACGAACUGUGCAAACGUUAUUCGGAAUCACUGGGCUUAAAGAGUUCGUAGGCGGCAUGUCAAGUCGGGUGUGAAAUCCCUCGGCUCAACCGAGGAAUUGCGUCCGAAACUGGCGUGCUUGAGUGAGAUAGAGGUGAGCGGAACUGAUGGUGGAGCGGUGAAAUGCGUUGAUAUCAUCAGGAACACCGGUGG
This 669-nucleotide ribosomal RNA is filed under the name uncultured organism. Its description in RNAcentral is "bacterial SSU rRNA". It matches the Rfam family "Bacterial small subunit ribosomal RNA", at positions 40 to 715 of the family's 1533-position model. The record is from RNAcentral.